This 774-nucleotide ribosomal RNA is filed under the name uncultured Neocallimastigales. RNAcentral describes it as "partial large subunit ribosomal RNA". It matches the Rfam family "Eukaryotic large subunit ribosomal RNA", at positions 24 to 627 of the family's 3401-position model. The record is from RNAcentral. Lineage: Eukaryota; Fungi; Neocallimastigomycota; Neocallimastigomycetes; Neocallimastigales.
UAUCUCUGUAGAGUCUGCAUAUCAAUAAGCGGAGGAAAAGAAACUAACUAGGAUUCCCUUAGUAACGGCGAGUGAAGCGGGAAGAGCUCAAAUUUGAAAUCUUCAAGGUUUUACCUUGACGAAUUGUAGUUUAAAGAAGUGUUUUCUGUUGGUGUUUUGGUAAAAGUUCUUUGGAAUAGGACAUCAUAGAGGGUGAGAAUCCCGUAUUUGACCAUUAUUUCCAGCUUUGUGAUACACUUUCAAAGAGUCGGAUUGUUUGGGAAUGCAGUCCAAAAUGGGUGGUAAAUUUCAUCUAAAGCUAAAUAUUGGCGAGAGACCGAUAGCGAACAAGUACCGUGAGGGAAAGAUGAAAAGAACUUUGAAAAGAGAGUUAAACAGUACGUGAAAUUGUCAAAAGGGAAGCGUUUGACACCAGUGUUGUUUUCUCGAAAAUCAAUUAAAAAAGGCAGGAUUUUGUGUUGUAUUGACUUUAUCAGCUUUCUGCACUCUUUUCUUGUCUUUUUUAAUGCACUUUUCGUUUAACAAGUCAACAUCAAUUUCUUUUGUUGUAAAAGGGUCAUUGGAAGGUGGCUUUCUUUUCGGAGAAAGUGUUUAUAGCCUUUGGCCUCUGCAAUCGGAGAGAUUGAGGUCUGCAGCGCAGAUCCUUCGGGGUUAGAUACAUUUGUGCUAAGUUAUAGCCUUUCAUAGACAACUUGUUGACUAUGAUCAGUCAUGUAGCUUACUCGCUUAUGCUAUUUUACCUACGCUUAGGAUGUUGACGAUCAGCUGAGCGCG